Molecule: long non-coding RNA, 731 nt
Organism: Salvia miltiorrhiza (redroot sage)
Lineage: Eukaryota; Viridiplantae; Streptophyta; Magnoliopsida; Lamiales; Lamiaceae
Exons: 4
Source: RefSeq, a predicted model, not a curated record
UAUAAAUAAGGGAGCUUGGUCUUACGAAUCGAUAUAUGAAAAUAUACGAAAACAUUAGCUUAGAGCUUUUGGCUUGCAAACACUCUUAACUCACGUUGAUUUUCAGCCCACACACAACUCACACACACUAACACCUAAAACACACACACCAUUCACGCAUAUACCAUUUUUUAGCUUGAGCUCAAGCUUUUGAGCUCCGAUUUGAGCACCGAGACGAGCGCCGAUCAUCUUUUCGAUCACGUAUCUAAGUAGGUCCUUUUGGGAAGUAACGACUUGAGGGAGAGAGUGACGUUACUCAUUGAUACAGAGACACAACGAGGUCCUUUUGGGAAGUAACGACUUGAGGGAGAGAGUGACGUUACUCAUUGAUACAGAGACACAACGAGGUUGAGCUGAUGUGAUGAUGGUGCUGCAAUGAGCGGAGUCUCCAGGGUUGUUAAUAAAUAGUUAACCUGUCUAGAAUAUGUCUUCAUACAUAUGUCUAGCUACUUUCCGCUGCAAGAUGUUGUUGAUGUUAUAGUAUGUUAUGUCAUACUUUGAGUCUUAAGAGAAUGGUUUCAUAUGAUGUAUAACUUGAUUAAUGAUAUUAAUUAAGUUUUAUGUUGUCUUUCAUAGACUGUUCAAAAGAGUAUUAAUGAGUAAAUACGAUGAUUUUUCUUAAGUUAAGUAAGAUUUACGGUUUCAAAUGAUGCCCCUUUCUUUCCCUUAUUCUUUAACCCCAUCCCUAGUCG